GCCGAGGUGGCGAAACAGGCAUACGCGGCGGACUUAAAAUCCGCUUCCCCUUCAAAAGGGAGUGUGGGUUCGAUUCCCUCCCUCGGCACCA
Molecule: transfer RNA, 91 nt
Filed under: SAR202 cluster bacterium
Lineage: Bacteria; Bacillati; Chloroflexota; Dehalococcoidia
Description: tRNA-Leu
Rfam family: tRNA
About the family: Transfer RNA (tRNA) molecules are approximately 80 nucleotides in length.
Source: RNAcentral